UAAGAAGAAAGAAUGGAAGAGUUACACAUAGUAUAUGAUAAUCACCCUGGCUAUUCUUCUCCAAAACAAGCUUUAUGAUAUAUCCAAAACAGGCUAUUCAUCAAACAAGUGUAACGGCUGAAACAUACGCUACUGAAACUCCUUCUAUAUAAUCAUUUAGUUCCAUCAUUCCAUCUGUCAAACCAUUCAUCUCUAAUAUCUGCGAAAUUAGAGCAAUUGGAUCUGCUUCAGCUACCGUCCCUGUUAUUACUGGGAGAAGACUGAACAUUGCUACUUAAUGGAGUCUGUUGGAGAUCCAUUAUAAUUGAAAAUGAGUAUUUAAAGAUUGGAGUGGAUACAUUACAAGACUUCCUUAAAUAGUUCCUUACCAUAUAUUGAACAGGUGUUGGACUAUCUUUUUUACCCAGAGAUACAUUUCAGUGGACAUUUGAUCAUGAGAUUGCAAAUCAAACACUUCAACUUUAUAGGGUAGACACAUUUACUACAGAGGAAGAGGUCUGCUAAGGUUGGACUAUUAAUAGAAUGAAUUAGAGGACCAAUUGUGAAGAGAAUCACAGCCGAUAGGGAAUUGGUGAUUGCCGUUUUACCUGUCUGCUAACAAGCUAUGGAAGGUGAAAGAAGAAUCCUUGCUCGAUCAGAGGGAACCUUAAGAAAAUUAGAUCAUUGCAUGGACAGUUCUCUAAUUCCUCUAUCUUUUCUAUUUUUUUUAGCACUUUCAACAUGCAUUUGUUCUAUUGAUCUUAUACGGCUCUCUAGGCUCUAGCAACUUGAUCUAAGACGUAUGGUGAGAUUAAAAUGGAUGCCCCUUAUGUAACUCCUUUUGCCUUUUCCUUUUUUGCCUAUAUUGUAACCUGUUUAUACUGUAUGGAAAGAAGAGUUUGCGAAUGAGGCAAAAAAAGGUUCAAGUCCUUUUUUCCCCAAUUCAAUAAUGGUUGUCAAGGGUGGAUUAUGAUUUUCC
This is a long non-coding RNA of Lotus japonicus, 958 nucleotides long. RefSeq lists it as uncharacterized. The transcript has 4 exons. Lineage: Eukaryota; Viridiplantae; Streptophyta; Magnoliopsida; Fabales; Fabaceae. The record is from RefSeq and is a predicted model, not a curated record.